This is a long non-coding RNA of Aethalodelphis obliquidens (Pacific white-sided dolphin), 1077 nucleotides long. RefSeq lists it as uncharacterized. The transcript has 2 exons. The record is from RefSeq and is a predicted model, not a curated record. Lineage: Eukaryota; Metazoa; Chordata; Mammalia; Artiodactyla; Delphinidae.
UGGUAUCUUCCCGGACCAGGGCUCGAACCCAUGUCCCCUGCACUGGCAGGCGGACUCUCAACCACUGCGCCACCAGGGAAGUCCCAAAUCAAUCAUCUUACAGGUGCCACACAGCUCGACUGGGGCACACGCACCCCUGGGAUAUAUUAAUACAAUGACAAGCAAGAAACACAUGCCCCCUCCAGAGGCUCCCUGGUGGCUGAAACACAUUGUUGAAAGUUACCCCUUCAGAUGCUGGGACCACGUUCUCCUCCCUCUGCCUUUAGGGUCCUCCACAGGCCACUCUGAAGAACACUGACGAAGCACGGAUGGGCGCGACGUGUGGACCUCAGGAUAAAGGGCCUCCGUGGAGCUCCACCUGGAAGCUGGCUGCCCCUGCCCACGGUGCUGACUCACCCUCUGGAGGGAGAAGAGAACAAAAGCUUAUCGGAGAAAAUGUGAUCCCUGCUUUAGAAUGGAACCCUGCUCCCAGCUCCAAUGCCAGCUCUCACUGGGGCUGUACGACGCUUUCACGCCAGUUCCCCGUUGAGCCAACAACCGUGAGGCAGUCAGUGAGCCUGAUAAGUGGGUUUUAUCCCCAUUUUACAACAGAAGAAACCAAGGCUCAGAGACUCCACCCAAAAGUGGCAGCCAUUUGUCAGGCACCAACCAUAGCGAGAGACCAGGACCAAGACCUGGGCCACCAUUUCUAUUCCACAGGCAGACCCCCGUCACCUGCAAAGCACCAGAUUUCAAACUGGACUCAAUUCCACCCCUACGCUUACUGCUUUAGAAUCUAUUUUUUAAACGCAAUUUUAGGGGUUUUGGUAAUCGCCUUAAAUGGAGAAAAACAUUAUGCAGCAUUCACUUGAUAUUAGCCAAACUACAAGAAGUAUCAAUUGAUUUUAAAAAAAAAAUUUAUGUACCUUGCCUUAGAAGUGAUUUCUGGAUAAAAUUUUCUAGAGCUUAUAAUUCCAUCCACGAUGUGAUCUAAUAUUGCCUAUUUCUAAAGCAUUUUACAUAACUUUGCUGUACACCUGAAACUAACAUAACAUUGUAAAUCAAGUAUACUCCAAUAAAAUUUCUUUUAAAAAGGCA